RNAcentral lists this ribosomal RNA (396 nucleotides) under uncultured bacterium. RNAcentral's name for it is "bacterial SSU rRNA". It matches the Rfam family "Bacterial small subunit ribosomal RNA", at positions 134 to 518 of the family's 1533-position model. The record is from RNAcentral.
AGGAGGGGAACGUAACCCGGACGAAGUCGGACUAAUACCGCAUAAAACAGGGGCGACCGCAUGGUGAUAUUUGUUAAAGAAAUUCGCUGAUAGAUGGGCAUGCGUUCCAUUAGGUAGUUGGUGAGGUAACGGCUCACCAAGCCGACGAUGGAGUAGGGGAACUGAGAGGUUCGGUCCCCCACACUGGUACUGAGACACGGACCAGACUCCUACGGGGAGGCAGCAGUGAGGAAUACUGGUCAAGUGGGCGAGAGCCUGAACCAGCCAAGUCGCGUAGGAAGGAAGAAGGAUCUAUGGUUACGUAAACUUUCUUUGCAGGGGAAUAAAGUGCGGGACGUGUCCUGUUUUGUAUGUACCCUGAGAAUAAGGAUCGGCUAACUCCGUGCCAGCAGCGGC